GAUGAACGCUGGCGGCGUGCCUAAUACAUGCGAGUCGAGCGAACAGACGAGGAGCUUGCUCCUCUGACGUUAGCGGCGGACGGGUGAGUAACACGUGGAUAACCUACCUAUAAGACUGGGAUAACUUCGGGAAACCGGAGCUAAUACCGGAUAAUAUAUUGAACCGCAUGGUUCAAUAGUGAAAGACGGUUUUGCUGUCACUUAUAGAUGGAUCCGCGCCGCAUUAGCUAGUUGGUAAGGUAACGGCUUAUCAAGGCAACGAUGCGUAGCCGACCUGAGAGGGUGAUCGGCCACACUGGAACUGAGACACGGUCCAGACUCCUACGGGAGGCAGCAGUAGGGAAUCUUCCGCAAUGGGCGAAAGCCUGACGGAGCAACGCCGCGUGAGUGAUGAAGGUCUUCGGAUCGUAAAACUCUGUUAUUAGGGAAGAACAAAUGUGUAAGUAACUAUGCACGUCUUGACGGUACCUAAUCAGAAAGCCACGGCUAACUACGUG
RNAcentral lists this ribosomal RNA (497 nucleotides) under uncultured bacterium. RNAcentral describes it as "partial 16S ribosomal RNA". It matches the Rfam family "Bacterial small subunit ribosomal RNA", at positions 28 to 507 of the family's 1533-position model. The record is from RNAcentral.